GAUGAAUGCUGGCGGCGUGCCUAACACAUGCAAGCCGAGCGGCAGCGCGGGUAGUUUACUACCUGGCGGCGAGCGGCGGACGGCUGAGUAACGCGUGGGAACGUACCCCAAAGUGAGGAAUAACUGCCCGAAAGGGUGGCUAAUGCCGCAUAUGCUCUUCGGAGUAAAGCUUUAUGCGCUUUGGGAGCGGCCCGCGUCGGAUUAGGUUGUUGGUGAGGUAAUGGCUCACCAAGCCGACGAUCCGUAGCUGGUCUUAGAGGAUGAUCAGCCAGACUGGAACUGAGACACGGUCCAGACUCCUACGGGAGGCAGCAGUGAGGAAUCUUCCACAAUGGGCGAAAGCCUGAUGGAGCAACGCCGCGUGCAGGAUGAAGGCCUUCGGGUUGUAAACUGCUUUUAUAAGUGAAGAAUAUGACGGUAACUUAUGAAUAAGCACCGGCUAACUACGUGCCAGCCGCCGCCGUA
RNAcentral lists this ribosomal RNA (465 nucleotides) under uncultured bacterium. RNAcentral's name for it is "partial 16S ribosomal RNA". It matches the Rfam family "Bacterial small subunit ribosomal RNA", at positions 28 to 522 of the family's 1533-position model. The record is from RNAcentral.